This 522-nucleotide ribosomal RNA is filed under the name Pochonia chlamydosporia. RNAcentral's name for it is "eukaryotic LSU rRNA". The stretch from base 172 to 325 matches the Rfam family "5.8S ribosomal RNA". Lineage: Eukaryota; Fungi; Ascomycota; Sordariomycetes; Hypocreales; Clavicipitaceae. The record is from RNAcentral.
CCGAGUUUUCAAGUCCCGAAACCCCAUGUGAACUUAUACCAUUUACAACCGUUGCUUCGGCGGGUUCUCGCCCCGGGCUUUACACCCCGGAACCAGGCGGCCCGCCGGGGGACCCAAACUCUAGAUUUUUAUUUUAGCAUGUCUGAGUGGAAUCAUUACAAAAUGAAUCAAAACUUUCAACAACGGAUCUCUUGGUUCUGGCAUCGAUGAAGAACGCAGCGAAAUGCGAUAAGUAAUGUGAAUUGCAGAAUUCAGUGAAUCAUCGAAUCUUUGAACGCACAUUGCGCCCGCCAGUAUUCUGGCGGGCAUGCCUGUUCGAGCGUCAUUUCAACCCUCAAGCCCCAGCGGUUUGGUGUUGGGGACCGGCGAGUACAGAGGCUUUGGGGACUUGUCCCCCUUCCCUCGGCGCCGCCCCCGAAAUGAAUUGGCGGUCUCGUCGCGGCCUCCUCUGCGUAGUAGCACAACCUCGCAUCAGGAGCGCGGCGCGGCCACUGCCGUAAAACGCCCAACUUUAUUUUAACG